UAGCGUAAUCACUUGUUCUUUAAUUGAGGACUAGUAUGAAUGGCCCCACGAGGACUACACUGUCUCCUUUCUCUAAUCAAUGAAACUGAUCUCCCCGUGAAGAAGCGGGGAUAAACCUAUAAGACGAGAAGACCCUAUGGAGCUUUAAACAACAGAAAUACUUGCUUCUUUCCUACCAUUUCCUGAAAACUAAAUUAAUUCAAGCAUUUUAUCUCCCAGUUUUAGGUUGGGGUGACCACGGAGAAAAAAUAAACCUCCAUGUUGAAAGAAGCCUUCCACCUUCUAAGCAAAAAGACACAACUUUAUGCAUCAACACAUUGACUCCCAUUGACCCAAUAAUUUGAUCAACGAACCAAGUUACCCUAGGGAUAACAGSGCAAUCUACU
Molecule: ribosomal RNA, 386 nt
Filed under: Andinobates tolimensis
Lineage: Eukaryota; Metazoa; Chordata; Amphibia; Anura; Dendrobatidae
Description: partial 16S ribosomal RNA
Rfam family: Bacterial large subunit ribosomal RNA
Source: RNAcentral